GGGGAAUAUUGGACAAUGGGGGAAACCCUGAUCCAGCGACGCCGCGUGAGUGAAGAAGUGUUUCGGCAUGUAAAGCUCUAUCAGCAGGGAAGAAAAUGACGGUACCUGACUAAGAAGCCCCGGCUAACUACGUGCCAGCAGCCGCGGUAAUACGUAGGGGGCAAGCGUUAUCCGGAUUUACUGGGUGUAAAGGGAGCGUAGACGGUUCUGCAAGUCUGGAGUGAAAGCCCGGGGCUCAACCCCGGGACUGCUUUGGAAACUGUGGAACUAGAGUGCAGGAGAGGUAAGUGGAAUUCCUAGUGUAGCGGUGAAAUGCGUAGAUAUUAGGAGGAACACCAGUGGCGAAGGCGGCUUACUGGACUGUAACUGACGUUGAGGCUCGAAAGCGUGGGGAGCAAAC
Molecule: ribosomal RNA, 400 nt
Filed under: uncultured bacterium
Lineage: Bacteria
Description: bacterial SSU rRNA
Rfam family: Bacterial small subunit ribosomal RNA
Source: RNAcentral